GACGAACGCUGGCGGCGUGCUUAACACAUGCAAGUCGAACGGAAAGGCCCUGCUUUUGUGGGGUGCUCGAGUGGCGAACGGGUGAGUAACACGUGAGUAACCUGCCCUUGACUUUGGGAUAACUUCAGGAAACUGGGGCUAAUACCGGAUAGGAGCUCCUGCUGCAUGGUGGGGGUUGGAAAGUUUCGGCGGUUGGGGAUGGACUCGCGGCUUAUCAGCUUGUUGGUGGGGUAGUGGCUUACCAAGGCUUUGACGGGUAGCCGGCCUGAGAGGGUGACCGGCCCACUUGGGACUGGGGUUACGCCCCGGACCCUUACGGGAGGAAGAGGUGGGAAUAUUGCACAAUGGGCGGAAGCCUGAUGCAGCAACGCCGCGUGCGGGAUGACGGCCUUCGGGUUGUAAACCGCUUUCGCCUGUGACGAAGCGUGAGUGACGGUAAUGGGUAAAGAAGCACCGGCUAACUACGUG
This 468-nucleotide ribosomal RNA is filed under the name uncultured bacterium. Its description in RNAcentral is "partial 16S ribosomal RNA". It matches the Rfam family "Bacterial small subunit ribosomal RNA", at positions 28 to 507 of the family's 1533-position model. The record is from RNAcentral.